Molecule: ribosomal RNA, 432 nt
Filed under: uncultured bacterium
Lineage: Bacteria
Description: partial 16S ribosomal RNA
Rfam family: Bacterial small subunit ribosomal RNA
Source: RNAcentral
AACGAACGCUGGCGGCAUGCCUAACACAUGCAAGUCGAACGAGACCUUCGGGUCUAGUGGCGCACGGGUGCGUAACGCGUGGGAACCUGCCCUUAGGUUCGGAAUAACUCCCCGAAAGGGGUGCUAAUACCGGAUAAUGUCUUCGGACCAAAGAUUUAUCGCCUUUGGAUGGGCCCGCGUUGGAUUAGCUAGUUGGUAGGGUAAAAGCCUACCAAGGCGACGAUCCAUAGCUGGUCUGAGAGGAUGAUCAGCCACACUGCGACUGAGACACGGCCCAGACUCCUACGGGAGGCAGCAGUGGGGAAUAUUGGACAAUGGGCGAAAGCCUGAUCCAGCAAUGCCGCGUGAGUGAUGAAGGCCUUAGGGUUGUAAAGCUCUUUUACCCGGGAUGAUAAUGACAGUACCGGGAGAAUAAACUCCGGCUAACUCCGU